This is a long non-coding RNA of Aedes albopictus (Asian tiger mosquito), 3765 nucleotides long. RefSeq lists it as uncharacterized. The record is from RefSeq and is a predicted model, not a curated record. The transcript is spliced from 3 exons. NCBI's taxonomy places the organism in Eukaryota, Metazoa, Arthropoda, Insecta, Diptera, Culicidae.
ACUCAGUGAUUGACCGGAGCAGUCGAAAUUGCACAGUGAACCAAUGGAUGGGGCUUGGGGUUAUCGAUUGUUUUUGUUUUGAUUUGUAAACGUUGAAUGCAACAACUUUUUAAUUCGAUCGUGUCCAGUGAAACAGUACGCAAGUGUUUUUUCGUUCCUGCUUCGUUCGGUGAAUCGCCCGCUGUUGUGAUUCACUGGUUAAAGGGUGUAAAUCAGCAAUGGCGAAUAAUUGGUACUAUAUCGAUGGUCAGAAAUGUUUUCCUUUACGCGGCGGUGCUAAGAUGUUUGUUUCACACGACAGUAAGAAACGCUGUGCCUCUCGGUAUCCUGAAUACGUGAACUUCCCAGUGCGACUGAAUUCGCUCGAUCUCGUACAGCUUAAGUGGAAUCCGGUGCAAAUACGAUUACUGGCACUGGAGGGAUUCUUCUACCCCGGACCAUAUGAUUCCAAGCCAAAGUGCUUCUGCUGUGGGUUGGUUGCUUACACGGUAGGCAACACCAACCAGCCGUACCAGAUUCAUGCCAACAACGGUGGACCUCCGGAUGGGGAUUGUGGAUACUUGGAGCACGUGAUGAACCGUGAGACUUGUUUCGAUAUGGGCGGUGGAGAAGCUGGAUGGAAACCAUGCAUGGAUUGCAAGCUGUGUUCCUGGGAGUUUGAAAUGAUAUAAUGAAAUCGAAAUGUAUCACAACAACAGUGUUAGAGUAGAGCGCUAUUCCUAAUAAAGUACACAGAAAAAAAUCUUGAAAUAUCAUAAAUAUUUGUUGCACAUCAGUCGCGUCGUAAAAGUGAUAUACAAAUUACAUCCUUUCCGCGCAGUAAAUUGGCCGCCGCUGCUUGCAAAUGGCCCAGCCAGCACACGAUUGCAUAUGAUGUUGAAAUGGAUGCUAAAGUGGAUCCGAUAUGCGUACACUUCACACAGGGUUAAAUGGUAGCAUGUACGUAUAUGGCCUCCACUUUGGCAUCAGGUAUCAGGUAUCAGUAGGUCGUCUCCAGAGGCACGUUCUCCUCCAUGUGGGAAGUUUGUGUCAUCGCCAUGAACACGAGCCUAUUCAUCAUUUACCUGAGGGAGAAGGGAAGAAAAAAUGGAUGGGACAGGGAAAAGAACUGGUAAAGGAAUAGGAUCGUCAUACACGCAUAAGCGUUCUACAAUGGGUUCAAAUAGCGCCCUGAGAAGGGCACUGUGAUAACGCAUAAAGCGUAAAGUGUUUACCGAGUACUCGGAAACGCAGUUACACAACAACUGCAGAGUUGCAUAUCAAAUGAUACGAACACAGAGAAACAGACGUAACUCUUAGAAUACAUUUCAUUGAAAAACAUCGUCAUCAGGACAAAACCGCCCAAUGCUAAACGUACUGCGGUUGGCCAGGCCAUCACUAGGUGCUGGUAGUGAGCAAGCGUCAAACAGGUGCAAAAACGACGCCAGCGCAGCGAGUGGUCAAUCGACCUACUAACGGAAAUCUGAAUCAACCGUUUAAAAGGUGAUCGAUGGGAAGCGAGCGGAGGGUGACGUCUGUUUCUCUGUGAUACAAAGUUCCAGAAUCGGAUUCACAAAUAUCACAAACAAAUGAAUCAGCUUGCAGAAUAUUCGCCAUGUGAUAGCUGAGUCGGCAGUGGCCAAUCAAUGCUUUGACCAGAAUGCUGCAAUUCUGCUUUGGCAGAUUUGUAAGAUACUUCGCCACCCUUGGAUGUAGCUCAGUACAAUACAAUUUAGUUUGACGACAUGACUCCAAACUAUUCCAGUAUUGUUUGUGCUGAGUGGCAGCUCAGGUGUCAAUCAGAAGCUUAACCCAAUACUUUGAUAUCGGAAUAGCUGGCUUAGAGCUUAUGAAGUCAUGUGAUGAUCCAGUGCGAGCUAACUCAUCAGCCAUUUCAUUUCCAGCGAUGGAAGAAUGGCCAGGUACCCAUACAUGGUGAACAGUGUUUGGUGAAUUCAGCUCCUCGAUUUGAGUUCGACAAGCGAUGACUAUCUUCGACCUAGAGUUGGCCGAAGCAAGUGCAUUAAUAGCAGCCUGGCUAUCUAAACUUAAGUAUAUUACUUCGCCCAUUACAUGCUGCUGAAGUGCUGAUUGCACUCCGCACAUAAGAGCAAAGAUUUCGGUCUGAAAAACGGUGCAGUGUCUACCAAGUGAAUAAGACUGAUGCAGCCUGAGCUCAAGAGAAUAGACACCAGCACCUGCUCGACCUUCGAGAACGGAGCCAUCAGUGUAACAUACGAUGCCGUCUGAAAUACUUCUUUCCAGAUAUCCAGAUGUCCACUCAUCCCGGGAAGGGAAUUUCGUGGAAAAUGUCCUAUAUGGAAAAUUAAGCAAUUGUAAGAUCACUUGGAGCAAGAACAACUUUGUCCCAAUCUACCAAAAGUGGAAACAACGAGGUGUGUGUUGAUCUGCAGUUCACAGGAGUUUCCUCUAGCAAACCGUGUACCCAUAGACGGUAAGUGCAAGAAAGUGAUUCUUGUUUAAGAUGAACGUGUAGUGGGACAACGUCAAAGAGAACUUCGAGCGCUGCCGUAGAAGUUGAAGAGAACGCUCCGGACAUCGCCAUUACCCGAGCAGAAAUGAAUAACAACAAAAUAACAUAUCGAGAUAUUAAUCUUAAAUAACAUUAUACCUCGAUAUGCCCUUCAUUAGGUGGGCUUAAGAGGCAAAAUAAAAAAAAAAUGAAUACCAUAAUUUUGCAUAAAUAACACCUAAAAAUAGCAAGUCUUGUUAUUUCAAUAAUGAUUGUAUACCAUAAUUUUAAAAGCUAUAUUUGUUAUCCAGAAGGUAUGAAAAAAACAAACUAAUAACAUUUCAUGCCAUUAAAUGGAACAUUUUUGAGUAGUUCCAUGAUAUAAUAACAAAUCUUGUUCUUGAGUUAUUUUGCCAGCUAAAUCAGUAAUACCACAUCAAUACCUAACUUUGCACAAAUACCUCCAAUUGUUAUUAUGGUGUUCUCAUAACAUUGCGUAGAAUAAUAUAGCAAUACCAACUUAAGGUAUUAGAGCACAGGUUGGUCUUUGCACGGAAUUUGUAAGGUAUGUCCUUCUGCUCGGGUAAGCAAAUCUUUUGAAGAUGGCCUAACUUUGAUUGGAUCGUUCUCACUUCGCCCUUUUGCCACCACACAAGACAUCCAUAGGCCAAUAUUAGACGAACAACAGUUGUGUAAAUCCUUUUGAUAUACUUGGGUUUUAGACCCCAAGUUGUACCAAAAGGUUUGCCGGCAUUGCCCGAAGGCCAUACAAGCUUUCUUGAUUCUGAACUCAACAUAAGCUGUCCAGAAAAGCUUUGAAUCAAGAAUGACUCCAACGUACUUUACCUGUUCAGUCACAUUGAUUUCAUAAUCAGAGACACGUAAAGGUCAAACACCAUUACGGUUUCGCUUUUCCGUGAAAAGAACAAUAGAUGUACUUGGAUUUACCGAAAGGCCAUAUUGGCGACACCUCAACUACCUGAAGAGCGUUUUGCAUCAGGUCGAAAAGGGUGCUGAUGCACAAACACUCAAUUUCCUAACCGCUGCUUGACGCAAUGUCGCGAAGAGAUGUCGGUUUUUGAGCAUUUGGUGAAUCCAAUUGGAAAUCAUUGGAGAUAGACCAUGACCCCGUGCGGCUUCCAAUAUGGCAUCGAAAGGCACGUUGUCAAUGGCACCCUCGAUAUCUAAGAAAACACCCAAACAAGAUUAGUUUUGAGUGAAUACUUUCUCAAUGUUGUUAACAACCUUGUGUAAAAGAGUCACAGUGGACUUUCAAGAUUGGUAAGCAUGUUGGUUCACAAGAAGAGGCACGU